GACGAACGCUGGCGGCGUGCUUAACACAUGCAAGUCGAGCGGUAAGGCUCCUUCGGGAGUACACGAGCGGCGAACGGGUGAGUAACACGUGAGCAAUCUGCCCUUCACAUGGGAAUAACUUCGGGAACCGAAGCUAAUACCGAAUACGACCACCGAUGGCAUCUUCUGGUGGUGGAAAGUUCCGGCGGUGAAGGAUGAGCUCGCGGCCUAUCAGCUUGUUGGNGAGGUAAUGGCCCACCAAGGCGACGACGGGUAGCCGGCCUGAGAGGGUGACCGGCCACACUGGGACUGAGACACGGCCCAGACUCCUACGGGAGGCAGCAGUGGGGAAGUAUUGGACAAUGGGCGAAAGACCUGAUCCAGCAACGCCGCGUGA
RNAcentral lists this ribosomal RNA (376 nucleotides) under uncultured bacterium. Its description in RNAcentral is "bacterial SSU rRNA". It matches the Rfam family "Bacterial small subunit ribosomal RNA", at positions 28 to 404 of the family's 1533-position model. The record is from RNAcentral.